This 468-nucleotide ribosomal RNA is filed under the name uncultured bacterium. RNAcentral's name for it is "partial 16S ribosomal RNA". It matches the Rfam family "Bacterial small subunit ribosomal RNA", at positions 28 to 507 of the family's 1533-position model. The record is from RNAcentral.
GACGAACGCUGGCGGCGUGCUUAACGCAUGCAAGUCGAACGAAAAGCCCCGGCUUUGGGGGGCGGCCGGGUGGGUAACGGGUGGGUAAACAGCCCGGUACCCUCCCCUUACAUUUGGGAAAAUUUCAGAAAACGGGGGCAAAUCCCGGUAUGGCAUUCCUGCUGUAUGGAGGGGGUUGGAAUGUUUCGGGGGUCGGGGUUGGAUUGGCGCCUUAUCGGCUUGUGGGUGGGGUAGGGGCUUACCAAGGCUUUGACGGGAGGCGGACCUGAGAGGGGAACCGGCCACAUUAGGAUGGAAAUACGGCCCAGACUCCUACGGGAGGCAGCGGUGGGGAAUAGUGCACAGUGGGCGGAAGCCUGAUGCAGCAACGCCGCGUGCGGGAUGACGGCCUUCGGGUUGUAACCCGCUUUCGCCUGUGACGAAGCGUGAGUGACGGUAAUGGGUAAAGAAGCACCGGCUAACUACGUG